Molecule: ribosomal RNA, 774 nt
Filed under: uncultured bacterium
Lineage: Bacteria
Description: bacterial SSU rRNA
Rfam family: Bacterial small subunit ribosomal RNA
Source: RNAcentral
AGAGUUUGAUCAUGGCUCAGGACGAACGCUGGCGGCGUGCUUAACACAUGCAAGUCGAGCGAGGCCCUCCUUCGGGGGGUGCCCUAGCGGCGAACGGGUGAGUAACACGUGGGCAACCCGCCCUCAGCUCUGGGAUAACUCCAAGAAAUUGGUGCUAAUACCGGAUGUGACCGCUGACCGCAUGGUCUGGUGGUGGAAAGAUUCAUCGGCUGAGGAUGGGCCCGCGGCCUAUCAGCUUGUUGGUGGGGUAAUGGCCCACCAAGGCGACGACGGGUAGCCGGCCUGAGAGGGUGACCGGCCACACUGGGACUGAGACACGGCCCAGACUCCUACGGGAGGCAGCAGUGGGGAAUAUUGCGCAAUGGGCGAAAGCCUGACGCAGCGACGCCGCGUGAGGGAUGACGGCCUUCGGGUUGUAAACCUCUUUCAGUAGGGACGAAGCGCAAGUGACGGUACCUACAGAAGAAGCACCGGCCAACUACGUGCCAGCAGCCGCGGUAAUACGUAGGGUGCAAGCGUUGUCCGGAAUUAUUGGGCGUAAAGAGCUCGUAGGCGGUCUGUCACGUCGGCUGUGAAAACCCGAGGCUCAACCUCGGGCCUGCAGUCGAUACGGGCAAACUAGAGUACUGCAGGGGAGACUGGAAUUCCUGGUGUAGCGGUGAAAUGCGCAGAUAUCAGGAGGAACACCGGUGGCGAAGGCGGGUCUCUGGGCAGUAACUGACGCUGAGGAGCGAAAGCGUGGGGAGCGAACAGGAUUAGAUACCCUAGUAGUCC